AAAUCCGUGACUUUCAAAUC
RNAcentral lists this transfer RNA (20 nucleotides) under Salvadora oleoides. RNAcentral describes it as "partial tRNA-Leu". Lineage: Eukaryota; Viridiplantae; Streptophyta; Magnoliopsida; Brassicales; Salvadoraceae. The record is from RNAcentral.